Molecule: long non-coding RNA, 275 nt
Organism: Quercus lobata
Lineage: Eukaryota; Viridiplantae; Streptophyta; Magnoliopsida; Fagales; Fagaceae
Exons: 2
Source: RefSeq, a predicted model, not a curated record
UUUUGACUAUUGAUCAAGAUAAUUAUAAUUUGUCGAUGCAUGACUUAUUGCAACAAAUGGGUAUGGACAUUGUUCGACAAGAAGCACCACAAAAGCCUGGGGAACGUAGCAGACUAUGGUGUUAUGAGGAAGCUCUUGAUGUAGUAACUGAAAAUAUGGGUUCAGAUAAAAUUCGAAGCAUAAUAUUGUGGCCUCCUAAAUCAGAACCAGUAGAGGUGCAAAUAAAGGCACAAUUUUGUAAGAUGAAAAAUCUUAGAUUGCUUUUGAUUCGUAAA